GACGAACGCUGGCGGCGUGCUUAACACAUGCAAGUCGAACGGAAAGGCCUCUUUCGGGGGGUACUCGAGUGGCGAACGGGUGAGUAACACGUGAGUAACCUGCCCUUGACUUUGGGAUAACCUCAGGAAACUGGGGCUAAUACCGGAUAGGAGCUCCUGCUGCAUGGUGGGGGUUGGAAAGUUUCGGCGGUUGGGGAUGGACUCGCGGCUUAUCAGCUUGUUGGUGGGGUAGUGGCUUACCAAGGCUUUGACGGGUAGCCGGCCUGAGAGGGUGACCGGCCACAUUGGGACUGAGAUACGGCCCAGACUCCUACGGGAGGCAGCAGUGGGGAAUAUUGCACAAUGGGUGGAAGCCUGAUGCAGCAACGCCGUGUGCGGGAUGACGGCCUUCGGGUUGGAAACCGCUUUCGCUCAUGACGAAGCUUUGUGUGACGGUAGUGGGUAAAGAAGCACCGGCUAACUACGUG
This 467-nucleotide ribosomal RNA is filed under the name uncultured bacterium. RNAcentral's name for it is "partial 16S ribosomal RNA". It matches the Rfam family "Bacterial small subunit ribosomal RNA", at positions 28 to 507 of the family's 1533-position model. The record is from RNAcentral.